Molecule: RNA transcript, 3483 nt
Organism: Drosophila sulfurigaster albostrigata
Lineage: Eukaryota; Metazoa; Arthropoda; Insecta; Diptera; Drosophilidae
Gene name: antigen 5 like allergen Cul n 1
Exons: 10
Source: RefSeq, a predicted model, not a curated record
UAUAAUAAUCCAUUCCAAAAUCAAUCGACCCUGAGUGUUGUACAUUGUAUAAAAUUUUACGGAAUAGAAAGUGCUCAAUCUCAAGUUAAAAAUGUGUUUGUGUGAAUCGUGUGAUUGCUUAGACAACUGGUGUUGUUCACUGAAGCGAAAAGUUUGGGCUUUUGCUAUUUGGACUAUCAUUUUUGGAAUUUUAGCUUUGAUUUCAAGUGUAGUGCAGUUUAUACAUUUCGAUAAUCUCGAUGCUACUGAGUACAAGGAUGAUGAAUAUUAUAAAUUAACUUAUGCAUUAAAUUUUAACGGUCAUAUUCUUUCGAUUGUUCUGGCGUGCAUUACUGUGCUUGCUGGACUUCUAAUGCUAUACAGUAUUAAAGAAUCCAUCGCACCACUGUACAUGGCGACCAUAGUUGUUGGCUCAAUAUGCCCUUUCGGUUACACUCCUUUAGUGAUAGUGCCAAUUGUGCAAGUUUUAUUUAUAAUCAUUGGAUGUAGAUACUAUUCAACUGUAUUAAAGUGAUAAUAUACAGAUCAUGAAUAUUACAAAUUUUCAAGUAAUUGUCUCUCGAUAUCAAAAUAAAAUUUUCGGAAGCCAAUAAAUCUGGAAUCGAAAUCUUAAAUUUAACAAGUGUAACUGUGAAUCGUGUUUAUGGAUUGACGACUGGUGUGGUACACUCAAAAAGAAAGUUUUGGCUUUCGCUGUCUUUAUGCUAAUAAGUGGCAUUCUAACAUUGAUUUUUGUAAUAUGGCUUUAUAUACAUUUCAAUGUGCAGGACUCAUCAAAGGAAAAAACAUAUCUAUAUGUGGAUUUGCAUGGCCUUGAUUGUCCUUCAACUGCUUGAUGGACUUUUAAUUUUAUACAGCAUUUAUGCAUCGAAUGCACCACUCUUUAUGACGUCCUUGGUUUUCGGUUCAAUAGACGGCAACAAAAGAUUUUUAACUUUAACAUUAAUAUUAACAUUAACAAUAUUAACAUUGGUAUUGUUAACAUUAACAUUGGAAAGCGCUCGUCAGCCAAGGAGCGACGAGUUGAGAUCAUCACCAGUAACCACGAAGUAGACGUUGAGGUCAUACCAGAAAAGUACCAACAAAUGGAGCGAAUGGUUCGACGAUCCAAUCGCUUAAGAAGUGCCAAGCGCAAACAUGGUGCAUCUCAUCAUGCACAUCAUCGGAGAGCACAGCAUUAAAGACAUAUUUCGAUGACACAAUAAUCCUGUUAAACACAUUCGAAUCAAUUUAAUAACAACGCCUGUAAAUAAAGAAAGUUACUAUCAUUUGUUGACUGCAAUAGACCCUUCUCUGAUUAUCAAAGUUGCUAAAAUCUAGACGAUUCUGUCUUGAGAAACUGAAUAAACCUCUUCCCUUACAUUAAAGAAAAUAUUCUAUACUCGUAUAUAUCUUAAAAUGAAACUUACUUUCAAACUACUGUUUAGAUCGAAGUAAGCGUGUCUCAAAUAUAAUAAUCCAUUCCAAAAUCAAUCGACCCUGAGAUUUGUACAUUGUAUAAAAUUUUACGGAAUAGAAAGUUCUCAAUCUCAAGUUAAAAAUGUGUUUGUGUGAAUCGUGUGAUUGCUUAGACAACUGGUGUUGUUCACUGAAGCGAAAAGUUUGGGCUUUUGCUAUUUGGACUAUCAUUUUUGGAAUUUUAGCUUUGAUUUUUCAUGUAGUGCAGUAUACACUUUUCGAAAAUCGCGAUGCUCCUGCGUACAAGGAUAAUGAAUAUUAUAAAGUAACUUAUUCAUUAAAUUUUAACGGUCAUAUUUUAAUGAUUGUUCUGGCGUGCCUUACUGUGCUUGCUGGACUUAUAAUGCUAUACAGUAUUAAAGCAUCCAUCGCACCACUGUACAUGGUGACCAUAGUUGUUGGCUCAAUAUGUCCUUUCGUUUAUACUCUUUUAGUGAUAGUGCCAAUUGUGCAAGUUUUAUUCAUAAUCAUUGGAUGUAGAUACUAUUCAACUGUAUUAAAGUGAUAAUAUACAGAUCAUGAAUAUUAUAAAUUUUCAAGUAAUUGUCUCGAUAUCAAAAUAACAUUUUCGGAAACCAAUAAAUCUGAAAAUUUCGCGUGUUACAUCUAUGUUUGACGUUCUUGGUUUUCGGAUCAAUAUCGCCAUUUGUUAAUCUGUUUAUAACAACGCCAGCUCAUCUUGAUAGUUUUAGCGUAUGUGGUGGAACAUCUUGGGCAUGCUCGUCUUGGAGCGGUCGCAAAGCGAGCGACUUGAGAUCAUCACCAGUAACCACGAUGUAGACGUUGAGGUCAUACCAGAAAAGUACCAACAAAUGGAGCGAAUGGUUCGACGAUCCAAUCGCUUAAGAAGUGCCAAGCGCAAACAUGGUGCAUCUCAUCAUGCACAUCAUCGGAGAGCACAGCAUUAAAGACAUAUUUCGAUGACACAAUAAUCCUGUUAAACACGUCUGUAAAUAAAGAAAGUUACUAUCAUUUGUUGACUGUAAUAGACCCUUAACUGAUUAUCAAAGUUGCUAAAAUCUAGACGAUUCUGUCUUGAGAAACUGAAUAAACCUCUUCCCUUACAUUGAAGAAAAUAUUCUAUGUACAUCUUAAAAUAAUACAUAUAGUACUUUCAAACUACUGUUUAGAUCGAAGUAAGCGUGUCUCAAAUAUAAUAAUCCAUUCCAAAAUCAAUCGACCCUGAGAGUUGUACAUUGUAUAAAAUUUUACGGAAUAGAAAGUGCUCAAUCUCAAGUUAAAAAUGUGUUUGUGUGAAUCGUGUGAUUGCUUAGACAACUGGUGUUGUUCACUGAAGCGAAAAGUUUGGGCUUUUGCUAUUUGGACUAUCAUUUUUGGAAUUUUAGCUUUGAUUUCUAGUGUAUUGCAGCUUAUAUUUAUGGAAAAUCGCGAUGCUAAUAAGGAUGAUGAAUAUUAUAAAUUAGUUUAUGCAUUAAAUUUUAACGCUUUUAUUUUAAUGAUUGUUCUGUCGUGCAUUACUGUGCUUGCUGGACUUCUAAUGCUAUACAGUAUUAAAAAAUCCAUCGCACCACUGUACAUGGCGACCAUAGUUGUUGGCUCAAUAUGUCCUUUCGGUUAUUUUCCUUUUGUGAUAGUGCCAAUUGUGCAAGUUUUAUUCAUAAUCAUUGGAUGUAGAUACUAUUCAACUGUAUUAAAGUGAUAAUAUACAGAUCAUGAAUAUUAUAAAUUUUCAAGUAAUUGUCUCGAUAUCAAAAUAAAAUUUUCGGAAACCAAUAAAUCUGGAAUCGAAAUCUUAAAUUUAACAUGUGUAACUGUGAAUCGUGCUCAUGGAUUGACGACUGGUGUGGUACAGUCAAAAGAAAAUUUGGGCUUUCGCUGUCUUUAUGCUAAUAAGUGGCAGUCCAACAUUGAUUUUUGUAAUAUGGCUUUAUAUACAUUUCAAUGUGCAGGACUCAUCAAAAGUAAAACAGAUCUAUAUGUGGAUUUGCAUGGCCUUGAUUGUCUUUCAACUGCUUGCUGGACUUUUAAUUUUAUACAGCAUUUAUGCAUCGAAUGCACCACUCA